AUGAGCGUUGAGCGUCAUCAGGUAGCAACACAUCUUCCAUGACAUAAAACUUAUCAGACUGAGUCGGUGCAGAAGUCGAGUUGGUCUGGCACUGCAAUGGUGUGUUCCUCUUGCACCCGCCACUAUAAUCCUGAAGGUCCCAGUCACUCAGAACCUUCGGGCUGA
This 165-nucleotide ribosomal RNA is filed under the name Triticum aestivum (bread wheat). RNAcentral describes it as "partial small subunit ribosomal RNA". The record is from RNAcentral. Lineage: Eukaryota; Viridiplantae; Streptophyta; Magnoliopsida; Poales; Poaceae.